Molecule: long non-coding RNA, 164 nt
Organism: Orbicella faveolata
Lineage: Eukaryota; Metazoa; Cnidaria; Anthozoa; Scleractinia; Merulinidae
Source: RefSeq, a predicted model, not a curated record
CCAUGCGUCAAAUGGCUGCGCUGUAUCAUCUCUCUUCCUUUUAGAAAAUUUGGUUGCACCACCACGUGUAAUCUGUGAGAACGUUUACUCAAGAUGCAGUUGUUUAUUCGCGGAGAAAAUCUACAUACUUUCGAUGUUACUGGCGGGGAGAGUGUGUUCGAUCU